GCCGGGAUAGCUCAGUGGUAGAGCAGUUGAUUUGUAAUCAUCAGGUCGUCGGUUCAAAUCCGACUCUCGGCUCCA
RNAcentral lists this transfer RNA (75 nucleotides) under Prosthecobacter fusiformis. RNAcentral's name for it is "tRNA-Thr". It matches the Rfam family "tRNA". Rfam says of the family: Transfer RNA (tRNA) molecules are approximately 80 nucleotides in length. Their secondary structure includes four short double-helical elements and three loops (D, anti-codon, and T loops). RNAcentral also lists the same sequence under 3 other names. The record is from RNAcentral. Lineage: Bacteria; Pseudomonadati; Verrucomicrobiota; Verrucomicrobiia; Verrucomicrobiales; Verrucomicrobiaceae.